AUUGAACGCUGGCGGAAUGCUUUACACAUGCAAGUCGAACGGCAGCACGGACUUCGGUCUGGUGGCGAGUGGCGAACGGGUGAGUAAUACAUCGGAACGUGCCCAGUCGUGGGGGAUAACGUAGCGAAAGCUACGCUAAUACCGCAUACGAUCUACGGAUGAAAGCGGGGGAUCGCGAGACCUCGCGCGAGUGGAGCGGCCGAUGGCAGAUUAGGGAGUUGGUGGGGUAAAGGCUCACCAAGCCGACGAUCUGUAGCUGGUCUGAGAGGACGACCAGCCACACUGGGACUGAGACACGGCCCAGACUCCUACGGGAGGCAGCAGUGGGGAAUUUUGGACAAUGGGCGCAAGCCUGAUCCAGCCAUUCCGCGUGCAGGAUGAAGGCCCUCGGGCUGUAAACUGCUUUUGUACGGAACGAAAAGGCUCUGGUUAAUACCCGGGGCUCAUGACGGUACCGUAAGAAUAAGCACCGGCUAACUACGUGCCAGCAGCCGCCGUAA
RNAcentral lists this ribosomal RNA (500 nucleotides) under uncultured bacterium. RNAcentral's name for it is "partial 16S ribosomal RNA". It matches the Rfam family "Bacterial small subunit ribosomal RNA", at positions 29 to 523 of the family's 1533-position model. The record is from RNAcentral.